Molecule: long non-coding RNA, 2095 nt
Filed under: Homo sapiens (human)
Lineage: Eukaryota; Metazoa; Chordata; Mammalia; Primates; Hominidae
Description: HSALNT0102416
Source: RNAcentral
AUGCAGUCUUGUAUUUUCCUUUUACAUUUUCAAAUGUAAAUUAAAUUUAAAUUUAAAUGUAAAACACUGCCUAAACAGUUGUAAUGUUGAAUAUUAUUUUCUCAUGCACUUUCAUGUAUAUAAUUAUUUCUCCAUUAGAUGAUAGGAAUGUUGCCUCCCCCCAUUUAAAAAUCUUUUUGUAUAUAGAUUUCAUGUGUCAAUGAUAAAAGAACAGAAAUAGGUAAAUCUUUUGUGAUAUACAAGAUGUACAUUACUAAAAAAGAAAUGUGAAAUAUAAAAAUGGGACCCAAUCAUUUCAGUAAGUUUUAUUACUAAUAUUAAUCAUGUUAAUAGAUAAUUAACGUUAACUUUGACCCUUUAAAUUCUGUGUUUUAUAUUCUCAUGGAUCCCAGACUGCAUCAUGCCUUUAAUAGUGCUCUUUAGAGAGAAUGAUUUUUCUUUCUAAAACACAUCUAAGUAUGCUUUGUUGAGUAGUUUCACUGUAAAAGCAAAUACAAGUGGGAGGAUAAAAAGAAAAACAAUUUCAAAGGAAGGAAGGAGAGAAGGAAGAGAAAAGAAAGGAGGAAGAAAUUUCGUUAACCAUAUUCUAAGGCCUAUACCACCAUUAGUAAACUGUAGAUAUAUUUUAAUUCAUUUCUCAUACUUCUCCUUGAAAAGCAUAUCUUCCCAUGUUAAGCGGAACAAGAACUCAAGUUCAGAUUUAAUAGAGUGCAGAGGGGAAGGCUGAGAGUGGGUGCAAGAGUUCACGAAAAAAGCUGGAGAGAGGAUGGAGGGCCAAGCAUCCAGUUUAUGAGAGAGGAAAGGGGCUGCAGGAUCACGCUCCUUUUGUAACAUCCCCCUGCGUUUCUGGUCCUCAACUCCAAGUCUGCAGGGUGCGACCAGCCCCAGAGCCAGCAGAGCUGAGAUAGACACCCCUCCUGGUUUAGCUCUGCUGCGCACACCAUCCCAAGACCUGUGGGGUCAGGCCAUGCGGGCAGCUCAGCAGCCACAAGGUCAUGGCUGGGUUUGGCAUGAAAUGCUCACACUCGGAGUGAAAAUAGGCCUCUGAAGAAGGAUGAAGCAACAGCCAAGAAAGAACCACUUUGCAAACAGACUUCCGAGGAGAAUGAGCCUCUUGAAAUCCUCUGUGCAAAAGUUCACACCAUAAAACAGCUGCUGCUUAAUGUCUCCGGCUUCUAAUGAGCCCCGAGCUCCCGGUUUGCACAGAACUUCCUGGCGAAUGGUGUCCAAGGUCCUUUGCUCUUCCCCGCGCCGUUCAAUCCCAGAAGCAGGAGGUGGCAGCAUGAGAAGUCAUUCCUCCAAGGCGAAUCGUGCUGGCUGGCUGGCUUUCUGCACUCCCACAUAACUGACCACGGUCCUUUCUGAUUCACCCAUGGAGCACAAGGACAGAAGCCAAAGGGUUUGUCUCUGCUUCCUGGGAUGUUGAUUCCUGCCCUGAUGGAGCCCAGGAGAUUUACGCCUCCUCCCCACCCAUCCUCACCCUCACGUCCAACUACCCCACCCUCCUUCCCCAGUGUUUCUGAGCUCUAAGGCACACAGGGCUGCAUUACAAAAGUACUCAACUAAAAGGUGUAUAUUUUGCAUCCCACACCUUCCAAGAAUAUGCUGAAACUCCUCUCCACAAAAAGACACAGCUGUGGUCAACAGUCCCUAGGCUCCCCAAAACAGCAUGUCCUCCACACUCAGCAACCAGGCCUCUGCUUUCUCUUCUGGAGUGGGAAGGAAGGAAAGGAAUAUGAGAAGGCAGGGUAGAAGAGCUGUAGCCCACCCCUACUCAGCCGGCUGGAAAGCUCCAAUUUGUUAACCUAGAAAACCCUGGGGCAUUGCAAUCAAAGAGUGGCUCCACCCAAGCAAAUAACUCGGAUUAUUUUUUUCCCUACUAGUGGGCAAGAAGAGAAAAGGGAAAAUAAGGACAAAUGUGUUCAAAACAGAAAUACUGCAUAACACUAACUUGGCUUUGGGCAAGGACCAGAUUAUAGGCCCAACACCUCCAUUUCUGUCCAAGUGGAAAGAGAAACUACAGGGUGCAACCUUAAUCCAGCUGCAUGAACUCUGUUGCCCAGAGACUCUGCCAGCCCAAGAAGAUCAACAUAAC